Molecule: long non-coding RNA, 829 nt
Organism: Amphiprion ocellaris (clown anemonefish)
Lineage: Eukaryota; Metazoa; Chordata; Actinopteri; Pomacentridae
Source: Ensembl
AAUGUUUACACCCGAAACUCCACCACGUCCACAGAAGCAAAAACGUUUGCAAAUGUACAGACGUGAGUGGGAAGAGUGGAACCCCUGGCAGUACGAGGCAAACUGUGUUUUCUGUUGUUCAUGGACUGGCUGAAGUAAAGCAGCAUCAGGAGACAAACAUGGAGGAAAUAUGAGAACAGAGAGAACCCAACCAGUAGGUCACAGUUUAUCAUCAUCUAAUCAUCUCCUGAAGUCCAUACGGUUUCCCAGAGACUAUGGGUUGAGGAGGAAGUGGAAGUUUGUCGGCUUAGACCUGGUGUCAUUCCAUCAGUGUUUAACUUCCUGGCUCAUCUUGGAAGAGUACGUGCCAGAAAGACCACGACCAAGCAGCCUUGAGAUCUUAGGCAGCGUCUCCCUGAGGUCCCUCUCUAUCUCCACACAUCCACCAACCACUGGAACACAUCUCCAAAGUUCUGCUGGGCCAGCUCAGCUUCCCCUCAGAAGAAGUGCUGCCACCUGCCAGAUGAAGGAGCCUUUUGAGAGGCAGCUGGCAUCGUGAUUGGACUGUACUUUGGUCUGUUCCAAUCCAGCUUCAGCUCCAGAGACGGCAGGUGGGACGAGUCAACGGAGGCCUGGUGGACGAAGGCAUGCAGCUGAGUACAAUCCAGAAAACAACAGAGGAGGAGUGCAGGGCCAGAACAAGUAGAGUAGUCAAAGUCAAAGUUAGCUUUAUUGUCAAUUCUUCAAUAUUUACAUGACAUACCAAGAAUCGAAAUUAGGUUACGUUACGAGUAGCAUAGUAUGUCUCUUCGAAAACAUCAUAGUAUAGCCUUUGGGAUGAAAAAACGCC